This 746-nucleotide ribosomal RNA is filed under the name Pseudomonas monteilii. RNAcentral's name for it is "bacterial SSU rRNA". It matches the Rfam family "Bacterial small subunit ribosomal RNA", at positions 134 to 871 of the family's 1533-position model. Lineage: Bacteria; Pseudomonadati; Pseudomonadota; Gammaproteobacteria; Pseudomonadales; Pseudomonadaceae. The record is from RNAcentral.
UAGUGGGGGACAACGUUUCGAAAGGAACGCUAAUUCCGCAUACGUCCUACGGGAGAAAGCAGGGGGACCUUUCGGGCCUUGCGCUAUCAGAUGAGCCUAGGUCGGAUUAGCUAGUUGGUGAGGUAAUGGCUCACCAAGGCGACGAUCCGUAACUGGUCUGAGAGGAUGAUCAGUCACACUGGAACUGAGACACGGUCCAGACUCCUACGGGAGGCAGCAGUGGGGAAUAUUGGACAAUGGGCGAAAGCCUGAUCCAGCCAUGCCGCGUGUGUGAAGAAGGUCUUCGGAUUGUAAAGCACUUUAAGUUGGGAGGAAGGGCAGUAAGUUAAUACCUUGCUGUUUUGACGUUACCGACAGAAUAAGCACCGGCUAACUCUGUGCCAGCAGCCGCGGUAAUACAGAGGGUGCAAGCGUUAAUCGGAAUUACUGGGCGUAAAGCGCGCGUAGGUGGUUCGUUAAGUUGGAUGUGAAAGCCCCGGGCUCAACCUGGGAACUGCAUCCAAAACUGGCGAGCUAGAGUAUGGUAGAGGGUGGUGGAAUUUCCUGUGUAGCGGUGAAAUGCGUAGAUAUAGGAAGGAACUCCAGUGGCGAAGGCGACCACCUGGACUGAUACUGACACUGAGGUGCGAAAGCGUGGGGAGCAAACUUUGUAAUAGGAUACCCUGGUAGUCCACGCCGUAAACGAUGUCAAUAUAUGCGGUGGAAUCCUUGAGAUUUUAGUGGCGCAGCUAACGCAUAAGUGACCG